GGAUCCAGACUUUCAUUCUGGCUCAGGAUGAACGCUGGCGGUAUGCCUAACACAUGCAAGUCGAACGGGAACCUUCGGGUUUUAGUGGCGGACGGGUGAGUAACGCGUGAGAAUCUGCCUUCAGGAUGGGGACAACAGUUGGAAACGACUGCUAAUACCCGAUAUGACGAAAGUUGAAAGAUUUAUCGCCUGGAGAUGAGCUCGCGUCAGAUUAGCUAGAUGGUGUGGUAAAGGCGCACCAUGGCGACGAUCUGUAGCUGGUCUGAGAGGAUGAGCAGCCACACUGGGACUGAGACACGGCCCAGACUCCUACGGGAGGCAGCAGUGGGGAAUUUUCCGCAAUGGGCGCAAGCCUGACGGAGCAAUACCGCGUGAGGGAGGAAGGCUCUUGGGUCGUAAACCUCUUUUCUCAGGGAAGAAUACAAUGACGGUACCUGAGGAAUCAGCAUCGGCUAACUCCGUGCCAGCAGCCGCGGUAAUACGGAGGAUGCAAGCGUUAUCCGGAAUGAUUGGGCGUAAAGCGUCCGUAGGUGGUUAUGUAAGUCUGUGGUUAAAGCGUGGGGCUCAACCCCAUAAGGGCCAUGGAAACUACACAACUAGAGUCAAGUAGGGGUAGAGGGAAUUCCCAGUGUAGCGGUGAAAUGUGUAGAGAUUGGGAAGAACACCGGUGGCGAAAGCGCUCUACUGGACUUAAACUGACACUGAGGGACGAAAGCUAGGGGAGCGAAAGGGAUUAGAUACCCCUGUAGUCCUAGCCGUAAACGAUGGAUACUAGGUGUUGCCCGUAUCGACCCGGGCAGUGCCGUAGCUAACGCGUUAAGUAUCCCGCCUGGGGAGUACGUACGCAAGUGUGAAACUCAAAGGAAUUGACGGGGGCCCGCACAAGCGGUGGAGUAUGUGGUUUAAUUCGAUGCAACGCGAAGAACCUUACCAGGGCUUGACAUGUCUGGAAUCUCUGGGAAACCAGAGAGUGCCUUCGGGAACCAGAACACAGGUGGUGCAUGGCUGUCGUAGGGUCGUGUCGUGAGAUGUUGGGUUAAGUCCCGCAACGAGCGCAACGC
This 1061-nucleotide ribosomal RNA is filed under the name uncultured bacterium. RNAcentral's name for it is "bacterial SSU rRNA". It matches the Rfam family "Bacterial small subunit ribosomal RNA", at positions 1 to 1104 of the family's 1533-position model. The record is from RNAcentral.